Molecule: RNase P RNA, 392 nt
Filed under: Aureispira sp. CCB-E
Lineage: Bacteria; Pseudomonadati; Bacteroidota; Saprospiria; Saprospirales; Saprospiraceae
Description: RNase P RNA component class A
Rfam family: Bacterial RNase P class A
About the family: Ribonuclease P (RNase P) is a ubiquitous endoribonuclease, found in archaea, bacteria and eukarya as well as chloroplasts and mitochondria. Its best characterised activity is the generation of mature 5'-ends of tRNAs by cleaving the 5'-leader elements of precursor-tRNAs. Cellular RNase Ps are ribonucleoproteins.
Source: RNAcentral
ACUACAAGCUGCUCUAUCGCGGGUUUGAGCUAUUCAAACAUGAGGAAAGUCUGAACAACGCAGAGCAUCGCACCAUCUAACGGAUGGGGUUUUCUUUUGCUUUUGCAUAAGAAAAUACAGAAAGUGUCGCAGAAAAUAACCGCUUUCAUUUUAUUGGAAGUAAGGGUGAAAACGUGCGGUAAGAGCGCACGGCUAUUAUUGGUAACAAUAGUAGCGGAUAAACCUUGCGAGUUGAAAUGCCAUGUAUACCAGCAUGGGCUCUUCGGAGUCCGUAGGGUUGCUCGCUCUAGCUGGAGGGUAGGCAGAUAGAGCCAAUAGGUGACUAUUGGUCUAGAUAAAUGAUAGAGACUCUUUGUAGAGUACAGGAUUCGGCUUAUAGGCUUGUAGUUGCU